RNAcentral lists this ribosomal RNA (253 nucleotides) under uncultured bacterium. RNAcentral's name for it is "partial 16S ribosomal RNA". It matches the Rfam family "Bacterial small subunit ribosomal RNA", at positions 524 to 776 of the family's 1533-position model. The record is from RNAcentral.
UACGUAGGGUGCGAGCGUUAAUCGGAAUUACUGGGCGUAAAGCGUGCGCAGGCGGUUCGUUGUGUCGGCGGUGAAAGCCCCGGGCUUAACCUGGGAAUGGCCGUUGAAACUGGCGAACUGGAGUGUGGCAGAGGGGGGUGGAAUUCCGCGUGUAGCAGUGAAAUGCGUAGAGAUGCGGAGGAACACCGAUGACGAAGGCAGCCCCCUGGGCUAACACUGACGCUCAGGCACGAAAGCGUGGGGAGCAAACAGG